Long non-coding RNA from Mauremys reevesii (Reeves's turtle), 545 nucleotides. RefSeq lists it as uncharacterized. Lineage: Eukaryota; Metazoa; Chordata; Testudines; Geoemydidae. The record is from RefSeq and is a predicted model, not a curated record. The transcript is spliced from 3 exons.
UAAGUGAUGAAGGCCUCAUGCCCAGGUACAUCGCAUCUCUGUAGUCAGCCGAGAUGUGAUGAAGGGAUGAAUAACUGAGACCAGAUCUCCACCCACCAGGAUGGGAUGGAGUUUCCUAGCCAACUGGAAACAAUAGACCAUAUUUAGGGUCAGAGAAGAGGCUUCUCCAGGACUGAGGCCUCUCACCACUUCCACAACAGCCUCAGACACAGGGUGCCUUCUAGAGAUGAUCUGCAACCUGAAUGAAGGAAACCUUUGCUAAUAACGAAGGAGCAGGAGCUGGACUUUAAGAAGAUUGUGCCGUGCAGCUCUGAGCGUACCGGGUAUAAACUCCUGGCACACGGAUAAAGCCACAUGAAUUUUACAUGUGACAGAGCAAGUUACAAAGCCCAGCUGCGCUCACAUGGACGAUCAAUGUGACUCUAGGAUUUUCUUUUUUCUAAAGAAAGUUCUCGCUACCAGAAGAAAAAUGUCAGCUCAUGUAUUUUGCAGAAGAGCAGCAACAAGGUUAAUUACAGAAGGUAAAAAUAAAUUGGCUUUGGUCA